Molecule: ribosomal RNA, 336 nt
Filed under: uncultured bacterium
Lineage: Bacteria
Description: bacterial SSU rRNA
Rfam family: Bacterial small subunit ribosomal RNA
Source: RNAcentral
UUUAAAGGGUCCGUAGGCGGUCUGAUAAGUCAGAGGUGAAAUCCUGCAGCUCAACUGUAGCAUUGCCUUUGAUACUGUUAGACUUGAGUUAUUGUGAAGUAGUUAGAAUGUGUGGUGUAGCGGUGAAAUGCAUAGAUAUCACACAGAAUACCGAUUGCGAAGGCAGAUUACUAACAAUAUACUGACGCUGAGGGACGAAAGCGUGGGUAGCGAACAGGAUUAGAUACCCUGGUAGUCCACGCCGUAAACGAUGGAUACUAGCUGUUCGAUCAACAUUGGUUGGUUGAGUGGCUAAGCGAAAGUGAUAAGUAUCCCACCUGGGGAGUACGCUCGCAA